UGAUGAGACCCUCUGAUUCAAAGUUUGGUCCAGCGAGAACCUUUCCCAAUGGUGAAAUAAUGACACUACCACCUUGGGAGACUAUGGCUUCAUCGUGUUGGUCAUCGUACCAGUCGGUAAAAAGGUGAUCAACAUGCGCAGGGAAAUCUUUACGCUGGCAGAACUGGCAAGCCGACAAUACGAAACAUCCACCCUCCAUGGCAAUGUGCAUCAUCGACGAUUGCCAUUCCUUGGAACCAUCGGCAGUAGGUGCACAAUAUAAUUCAACUCCUGCAUGCAGCCAGAAUCCAAAUUGUUAUAGCAUUAAAAAGUUAUAAUCUUGAAGCUGUGAAUACAAUUCUAAUUAAUAGCAAGGACACCUAGGACUAACCCUUUCCGUACAGGGCAGUUCUGUAGAGGGGCAUUCUAUUUUCCCAGCAAAUAGCAGCACCGAGUUUGCCAAUGGGUGUGUCGUAAACAGGGAUGGUUGAUCCGUCCCCGAAACCCCAGAUGCAACGUUCGAGACUUGUUGGCAUGACCUUACGGAUUAUUAUUUCAUUAUUAAAAUCGUAACUAUAUAUAUAAAAAUUAGUAAAUUAUUGUUUUAUUGUCAUAUUCAAAGAUAUUGUAACAUUUCACAAAUUUUGAAAGUUUUUUAAAAAAUUAAACUUUUCGCUUCAUAGAUUUAUAUUAUCGAGUAAAUAAUUAAACAUUUAGUUUUUGUUUAAUUUUUUUUUAAAAACUAUAUAGUUUAAAAUUUGUCUUCAUUGGUUUAAGGUAGUAAAGAUUAAUCAUUGUUAGAUAAUAUGAUUUUUGUUAUUUUAAAAAAAAUCUUUAUAAUUUUAAAAGUUAACAUCGGCAAAUAUUUAAAUAUUUAACAUAUGGAGGCAGUGGCGGAGGCAGAAAAUAAUUUAUUGGGGGCACAAAUAUUAAAUGUUAUUAUCUAUGUUAUUGUUAUGUGUAUUUGUAGGGGGUUUAAGCAAAUCUAUGGGGGCAAACGUUAUUUUAGAAUGUGGGCAUAUAGACUGGGAUUUAGUAACUUACACUAAUUUUUAAAAUUUUGUUGGGUUCAGUGGCCCUCAUCUUACUACAUGUGGCUCUGCCACUGUAUGGAGGUAUAAUAUUACAAUAUUAAAUUAAAUCUAUUUAAUUUAUACUAUCUAUAAAUCCAAUGGAUCAUCUAUUCUUUAAAUUCAAUUAUUGAUAGCCCAAUAAAAGUUUUUGGUAGGUCCAAAAUUUAAAUGUUAAGAUUAGAGAUUCAAUGUAACAUGACUUUAUAGGAAUAUGUUCAUUUUUUAAAGAAUCACACAUGAAUCAAGAUUGUGACUUCUGUUUUAAUAUAUAAGAUUUUGAAAUCUAAUAGUGUUUUUUUAGCAAUAUGUGUGGUAGGAUCUGACACAAUUCCAAUAUCCAGAUUUUUUGAACCAUUUUUGUCUAAAUAAUAUUUUAGAUCGCUUCAAAAAAAUAAUAGUAUUUUUUGACGGCCGACUCAUCAAAUUUAAAGAGCCAAAACACAUCCUUUUUUCCUAUAGAAAAUACUACUAGACUUCAAAUUCAUUGCAUAAUAUUCAAGUACAAAUUGGUUUCCACAUGCAACUGGUUCUCUUACAUUAUUGAAACAUAAAAUAAACAAACUUAACUGUGAGUUCCAAAAGGAUAUUUUGAACUGGCAAUAACAUAAGACAAUAACAUAAGACUGGCAUGAACUCCUCCAGUAGUUGAGAAUAGGAUAAACUGACGACCUUCAAAUCUCCAUUAUUUCUCCUUAGACUCUGAGCCAUCCUCAGCUUUCACCGUCUUCGAGACGAAUGUAACUGGUUUCUUCGGGUGCUCAUUUACGGUCAAGUUAAAAACAUCUGGUUUCGAGUAAUGUCCCACCACAUCAAAGUAUAACUUAGCUCUUGCUAUGUCACCAAGAUCUACAUAAUAUAGUGUUAUAGAUAUUAUUAGGCAAGAAAGUUUUGAUUUACUAAAGCCUAUGAUCAAUAACAAAUAAGAGUGUAAAUAUACCAAGAUCAGCUGUGAUGAGACCCUCUGAUUCAAAGUUUGGUCCAGCGAGAACCUUUCCCAAUGGUGAAAUAAUGACACUACCACCUUGGGAGACUAUGGCUUCAUCGUGUUGGUCAUCGUACCAGUCGGUAAAAAGGUGAUCAACAUGCGCAGGGAAAUCUUUACGCUGGCAGAACUGGCAAGCCGACAAUACGAAACAUCCACCCUCCAUGGCAAUGUGCAUCAUCGACGAUUGCCAUUCCUUGGAACCAUCGGCAGUAG
Molecule: long non-coding RNA, 2250 nt
Filed under: Brassica napus (rape)
Lineage: Eukaryota; Viridiplantae; Streptophyta; Magnoliopsida; Brassicales; Brassicaceae
Description: long non-coding RNA (BNAP_LNC012824)
Source: RNAcentral